AACGAACGCUGGCGGCAUGCCUAACACAUGCAAGUCGAACGGACCCUUCGGGGUUAGUGGCGCACGGGUGCGUAACGCGUGGGAAUCUGCCCUUGGGUUCGGAAUAACUCGCCGAAAGGCGUGCUAAUACCGGAUGAUGUCGUAAGACCAAAGAUUUAUCGCCCAAGGAUGAGCCCGCGUAAGAUUAGCUAGUUGGUGGGGUAAAGGCCCACCAAGGCGACGAUCUUUAGCUGGUCUGAGAGGAUGAUCAGCCACACUGGGACUGAGGCACGGCCCAGACUCCUACGGGAGGCAGCAGUGGGGAAUAUUAGACAAUGGGCGAAAGCCUGAUCCAGCAAUGCCGCGUGAGUGAUGAAGGCCUUAGGGUUGUAAAGCUCUUUUACCCGGGAUGAUAAUGACAGUACCGGGAGAAUAAGCUCCGGCUAACUCCGUGCCAGCAGCCGCGGUAAUACGGAGGGAGCUAGCGUUGUUCGGAAUUACUGGGCGUAAAGCGCACGUAGGCGGCUUUGUAAGUCAGAGGUGAAAGCCUGGAGCUCAACUCCAGAACUGCCUUUGAGACUGCAUCGCUUGAAUCCAGGAGAGGUGAGUGGAAUUCCGAGUGUAGAGGUGAAAUUCGUAGAUAUUCGGAAGAACACCAGUGGCGAAGGCGGCUCACUGGACUGGUAUUGACGCUGAGGUGCGAAAGCGUGGGGAGCAAACAGG
This 702-nucleotide ribosomal RNA is filed under the name uncultured Sphingomonas sp. Its description in RNAcentral is "bacterial SSU rRNA". It matches the Rfam family "Bacterial small subunit ribosomal RNA", at positions 28 to 776 of the family's 1533-position model. The record is from RNAcentral. Lineage: Bacteria; Pseudomonadati; Pseudomonadota; Alphaproteobacteria; Sphingomonadales; Sphingomonadaceae.